ACCGCGCGCUGCUUCCGGCCCUUCGAGCGGCCCCGGCGGGAGCGGCGCCUCCGGCGGCGGUGAGCCCUGAGCGGGCCGAGGGAGGGAUGGGGCUGCCCGGGGGCCAUUCUGGAUUUCCUUAGGCUAUAAAAACGUUUAAGCCUCUAAACAUAUCAGACCUGUUUUCCUGCAUUCCACAUCUACAGCUUACCUGUACCCUAAAGAACAUAAAGGAAACAGAUAAGUGUCAAGAAGCCUUCAGUGGUACUUCUUCCAUGGAGAAUGUGUGGAAAAAUGCAAAUGCUGUGCACGUGUGAAAGAGAGGCCAGACUCAAAGCUGUUCCUGACUGUUGAUCCUUAACACUAUCAGAGUGAUAAACUUCUCUUUGUCAGAAAUGUCACCUUAGAGGUGAAGUGAGUAGCAGCUGUGAGUCACAGUGGCAGUGCAGGCUCUGUCGAUGGGAACUUGUUUUCUCACCGUCUGUUCCAUGAGCUGCCAUCCCCCACAGCUCCUCAGACUGCUGUCUGCACGGACCACGCAGUCAGGACUGAACUCAGCUGGGAGUAGUUUUAUGUGUGCCUACUGAGUGAGGGCUGCGCUUCUGGUUUCUGUUGAAAUCCAAACCCAUUUUGUUAGCUUUUCCUUACAGAAGAACAAGAACGCUUGGCCCUCUGUUGGCUUUGCCCUUUUUCACACAAGCUCUUGACAUAGAAGUUUUCUCCUUUGGUCUCUCAGGUCCUUUACUGUGAAUAAUAAUCCAUGUUUCCUGUUUUUAUUAUUAUUAUUCCUUUUCUACAAAGGCUUUAAGAGCAGUAGAGCUUUCCCUGUCUGUAGAGCUAAUCUGCAGUGCUGAAAGCUGUGGAUGCUGGUUUGGCUGCCUGUCUGCAAAAGAAAAGGGAGACCUAUCAAUCAACAAGAAAUGCUGAGAGCAGCAAAUGAAACUCUUUGCUUUUUCCAUUGGGCAACAAGGGCCUCUCAGGAUUAAACCUUUUCUAAAUUUAGCUACAUCUCACUAGAGUUAGGAUCAGGAGUUAUCAGAAGGCAAUGACGUCUGUCCUCUGGAAGUCUGAGUCCUGGCAUGCACCUCUCGUACUCUGUGCUGCAGCAGUUUGGAGCUGGGAACAUUCUGCACAGCAUGGGACUCUUCAGACGUGGCAGGAUUUCUCAGAGCACUUGAAAUACAUACUCUCAGCUGCCUGCUUGUGUUUAUUAUUCUGUCCAGGUCCUGAGCAAAACUUGUUCAUGCUCUGAAAUGGACAUCAUGGGAGAGCAGAAUGGUUAAGCCAUGUGAAACAUUCUGCUGCUUUUUUUUUUGUUGUUGUUCUUAAUAUGUGUAAGACUUGCACAGACCUUCUUUUCUAUUGGUAUUAAAUAUCAUUCCAAUGCAACUUAAAUUCUCAGCUGUUCUGGUAAGGAGUACUAAUUAACACUUUCAGAGUUAGAUUUGAGGAGACAUAAGUGAAACCCAUCAAAAAUCAAUAGCCCUUUGCAGGUCCCCAUUGAGUCAUCCAGGCAGGGAGCUCCUUUGCUCCUUGUGGCAUGGAAGCAUGUUAACCUGCUGGGAAAUGCCCAGCUAACCUUCUUCUUCCAGCUGGAGGAGAGCCUCAAGGGAGCAGCAUGCACAGGCAACUAAGAGCUUCCCAGAUGUGUAGAAGCUGUAUUGAACCCUGUGCCCCUAUAGCGUUGGUUAAAAAGAAGUUACUUCUGAAAGAAACAUCUUUGCUAGCUGGAAUGAAGGAGGCCUGUCUGAAAUUGUACUAAAGGUUACCAGUGCUGAGCCAUGGAAAUUCAAGAAAGGUUCCUUAUCUCUCACUAUGAAAAGCUCCACUAAAUGAAAGUUGUGACCUCU
Molecule: long non-coding RNA, 1829 nt
Organism: Gallus gallus (chicken)
Lineage: Eukaryota; Metazoa; Chordata; Aves; Galliformes; Phasianidae
Exons: 3
Source: RefSeq, marked validated